UUAUUUCCUGCUUCUCUCCACUGUCUUAUUUUCAAGCUGCUACUGGUGCACCAUGAGAACCUGAUUUAAUACUAAGUGUCCAUACCAAAGUUCACUGUCUGUCCCUACAGCAUAAUAUAACAUCGGUUAUCUCACACAAUUGAUCUGGCUUAGUUCCUGGCCCAGGUGCAUAUUAGUUUUUGGAAGAAACUGAAUACAUAUUGUAAAAGUGUAUUAGCUCUUUCAAGCCAAAGGGGAGUAAUCACUCCAUGUAAAAGUGUAUUAGCUCUUUCAAGCCAAAGGGGAGUAAUCACAUAGAUGACUUCUCCAGGGGUGGAGGCCUUCAAGUGGGGCUAAAUGAGGAAGCAGAAAAUCCUAAGCACUCUGUUUCAUUUUCUUGUGAGCAAAAAACAUGAGACAGUGUCCUUUGU
RNAcentral lists this non-coding RNA (410 nucleotides) under Pan troglodytes (chimpanzee). The record is from RNAcentral. Lineage: Eukaryota; Metazoa; Chordata; Mammalia; Primates; Hominidae.